UAACCAUGUAAAAUUCUCCUAUCCAAUAAAAAACUUUUGCUUAAUCAAUUUGAAUUUUGACUAAAUCAUAAAUCCAUCUUCAUACUUCUAAAGCUUCUUGAUGAUUUUGAACUUCUUCUUACUUCUAGAAUUUCAUUGGUCUAGUUUACACUAUUUUCAACACAGGAUUUGUGCUCAAAGAAGUUGGUUGGUCAGAGCUUGAACCACACCUCAACCUUGGCAUCACCAGAAAAUCUUCCUAGUGAGGUACAUUAUGAAAUCCUUAAGUGUACAAUAGCACAAUAUCUUUGUGCUACUAUAGACAGACCCAUCUGGGCCUACUAUAGACAAACCCAUCUUGGCCAAGUACAAGCUGAUCUGACCCAAGUUUCGUAGAAAUUUGAGCCAAGCCCAUCCUUCUGCUUUACAGGUCUCAGCUCAGCCCAACUGAAGGCGAGCUUCUAGGAGCCUAGCAUGGCUCGGACUAGUUACUAGUACUGCUCCCUUUUCAAGCCAACCUGACCCACUAUGACACCACAAAGUGAGAGUAUAUUUCUUGAUUCUAACAAUUUACACUUUUAGAUGAUAUAGUUUACUUUAUAUUCCAUUUAAGUAUUUAACUAAAGCACCUUUGGACGAGGAGAUUUACCUGAGAGUCCAGUUAGCUAAAGUGUAGUCUCCAUUGCCUCGAGUCUUGACUGACAAGUAACAAGCAGUCAUCCUGCCCAUUUCUUAUACCUUUUUCCCAUUUCUAGUUCGACCACUCUAGGUGUCCUGCAUUAUUAGGAGAGAAAAAAAAAAGCAAAAAAAAUAAAGUACAAACUUUGAAGGAAAUUCAAUUUUACCUCCAAGUAAAGAUGCCAAAAAAAAUUAAUUAUAAACUCAUAUCGUCCAGAUACGAGAGGACAAUCGCGAAGCUAAAGAACUACAUUUUGCACGACCUAGUCAUACUUCUAGUGACUGUACACGAGCUGUAGUGUCUCUCCAGCUCUUGAUUUCUUUCAUACUCACUACUUGAGGGGGAUUGAUUAAAUUAAUUUUGGUAAACAAAGUUAGGGAAGUUCGCGACUUCCUCACAAUCAAAAGUGUCCUUCGUAUAUUCAUUUACCAUUGAGAAAGAUGGCACUUCCACCCAGAUAUCAAAUCAUAUAUUGCUCAAAUCAUUAUCAUUAAUUGCUCGAUCAGAUUUUUGUGCACAUGCUCUUCCAUGUAUCGUUCAAGUUAACCAAAUAUAGAGGUCUCUUUAUUCUUUGCCAGAUUUCCAUUAGCUUCGUUGAUCGAGCUAGCUAAUGGUAGACUCUAAAAUUUUUCAGUUGAUUCACCAAUAACACUUUUAUAAUUUUAAGUAAGUAAUCGAUGGCACAAUUGAGUUGCAAUCUACUAAAUUAAAAAUAAGUAAAGAUAUAGUCUCGCUACAUUCAGAUGGUGCAUAAGAUCAUUUUAUAAACUUGACUUACAUUUUUUUUCAUAACAUCCACAAAAAGUUGUUACAAAAUUGACUAUUUUGUGUAGACGUCAUUUUUCACAUAUCAAACUCAGAUUGAAGAGCUUAAAUAAUUGAGGACAUUGCUACAUGUACAUCAAGUUUUACAUAAUGGAUUACAUAAUGUCACAUAUCACUAUAUUAUUUGUCAGUUUAAGACAUAAUCAAAUGUUUCAUUCAAUCUUUUCCUUCCACAUCAUUUUAUAUAAUCCUUUAUGGAUUAUUUUUAUGUACAAGUAGCCAUGGGCGAAUGUAAGAGGGGACUAAGCUGGGAUGUAGUCCCCCCAAAGCCCAAGAAUUUUUUUUAAGGCAUCUUUCUUUUUAUUUUUUAUUUUUGUAAAAACAGUUUUUUAUUUGUAAGUUUUUUUUUUAGUAUUAGCUUGACUUGAAAUUUUAUAGUCCGAUCUUAGAUCCAAUCUCGAAUCCGUCCCUACAAGUAGCAUGAUCCUAUAAUUGAUUUGGGACCAUUUUAAUUAUGAAAUCAGAAAUUAUACUAAUAGAAUCGAUAAAAUGCUUGAAAAUAUGAUUAGGAUUGCUUAUGAUCAUUUGAAACGAGAAAAUAAUAAUGUUAGGUAUAAGCCAAUAAUUUAUAAGUUAUUAUGAAUGAUUGAACAAUAACAUUAUAUUGUUGAAUAAUUAUUUGUGGAAAGUCCCUACAACUGUAUUACAUGUCGAAAUUACCAUCCCGUCCUUUUCAACUAUACGCGAAUAAGCAUUUAUCAGGGGUAAACAUGUCCAUUCAUUAAAUUUUUUAAACGCUCCGUACGAACAUCACACGUGCAGGUUAAUCUCAACUUGCAGUUUGAUUAACUUAAUUUGAUGUAAAGAUUCUUUUAACGGUUAACCAAAUCACAUGGAGACCAGCUAAGCCAGUCACAUGGGCCAGAUAACUGGGCCAAUAAAGCUGGCCCACAAAUGCUCCUGUGGUUACCUGGCAAUAGAUUCACUUGCAAGUUGCCAAGGGACUGCACGUGUGCUGUUCUCGAUCAACGGUGGAGGACCAUUCUAUUUCAUAUAAACGGCCAGGAUGGAUUUCUUACGUGGUUACAGCUUUCUGGGCGACCGACCACCGAGAAAAAGAAGGUAAGAGGAAAAGGAAAGUGCAUGAUUUUGAUUAAAGUAAUGACAAUCGCACGAUGAAAUUAUUCUUUGACCGUUGACUGAAUCCUUCAAAAACAGGGUCAAUUUUGACCAUGUCACGUGUAACCACACGUGUGCUAGCAUGUGGGUGCCUUGCUGUAACCGGGCAUUGAUGCUACGAAUAAUGCCAUUCAUGGACACGGCUUAUCAAGCUAGUGGGUAUUUUAAUUAUAUGAAACGUCACGU
This 2788-nucleotide long non-coding RNA is filed under the name Olea europaea subsp. europaea. The record is from RNAcentral. Lineage: Eukaryota; Viridiplantae; Streptophyta; Magnoliopsida; Lamiales; Oleaceae.